GCCAGGCAUGGUGGUGGGCGCCUGUAAUCCCUGCUACUCAGGAGGCUGAGGCAGGAGAAUCGCUUGAACCCAGGAGGCAGAGGAUGCAGUGAGCCGAGAUUGUGCCACUGCACUCCAGCCUGGGUGACAGAGCGAGACCCUGUCUCAA
Non-coding RNA from Homo sapiens (human), 148 nucleotides. It matches the Rfam family "Metazoan signal recognition particle RNA". Rfam says of the family: The signal recognition particle (SRP) is a universally conserved ribonucleoprotein. It is involved in the co-translational targeting of proteins to membranes. The eukaryotic SRP consists of a 300-nucleotide 7S RNA and six proteins: SRPs 72, 68, 54, 19, 14, and 9. The record is from Rfam. NCBI's taxonomy places the organism in Eukaryota, Metazoa, Chordata, Mammalia, Primates, Hominidae.